RNAcentral lists this transfer RNA (89 nucleotides) under Achromobacter ruhlandii. RNAcentral's name for it is "tRNA-Ala". Lineage: Bacteria; Pseudomonadati; Pseudomonadota; Betaproteobacteria; Burkholderiales; Alcaligenaceae. The record is from RNAcentral. RNAcentral also lists the same sequence under 1 other name.
GCGCGACCUGCUCGGCGGGCGAGGAGAUGACCGCGCCAUCGAGCAGGAUGCGUCCGGCGCGCACCGGUUCGAAGCCGGCGAUGGCGCGC